This is a long non-coding RNA of Eleginops maclovinus (Patagonian blennie), 229 nucleotides long. RefSeq lists it as uncharacterized. The record is from RefSeq and is a predicted model, not a curated record. NCBI's taxonomy places the organism in Eukaryota, Metazoa, Chordata, Actinopteri, Perciformes, Eleginopidae. The transcript has 2 exons.
ACUACAUCUCAUGCCAUCCAUCAGAUAGAUAGAUAGAAUCGGAGGAUGAAACCCUCUUUAUUAGUCACAUACAUGCACACAGCAGAGCACACACAGUGAACUGGGACCUCUCCAAGUAGCAGUCCACCUUCCAUGUUUUUUCAAGUCUGUUCGGGGACUUGAACCGGUGACCCUACGAUUCCCAGUCCAAGCCCCUACUGACUGAGCCACUGCUGGACACUGAUGAAGA